RNAcentral lists this ribosomal RNA (673 nucleotides) under Macrobrachium dongaoensis. Its description in RNAcentral is "SSU rRNA". It matches the Rfam family "Eukaryotic small subunit ribosomal RNA", at positions 547 to 1187 of the family's 1831-position model. Lineage: Eukaryota; Metazoa; Arthropoda; Malacostraca; Decapoda; Palaemonidae. The record is from RNAcentral. RNAcentral also lists the same sequence under 1 other name.
AUUGGAGGGCAAGUCUGGUGCCAGCAGCCGCGGUAAUUCCAGCUCCAAUAGCGUAUAUUAAAGUUGUUGCGGUUAAAAAGCUCGUAGUUCGAGUUCAGUUUCGGACUGGGGUGGGAGGUCACCGCCCGGUGCUUGCCCCCUAGGCUCCGAACAGCUUCCGUGAGUGGAAGCCAAGCCGGUUCUGGCGGGGUGCUCUUUACCGAGUGUCCCGUGCGGCCGGCCAGUUCACCUUGAAUAAAUGAGAGUGCUCAAAGCAGGCUACUCUGGAAUACAAUGCCGGAAUUUUCCUUGCAUGGAAUGAUGGAAGAUGAUCUCGGUUCCAUUUUGUUGGUGGUGGGAGCCCGAGGUAAUGAUAAAGAGGGACUGUCGGGGGCAUCCGUACUACGACGCGAGAGGUGAAAUUCAGUGACCGUCGUAGGACGAACAACAGCGAAAGCAUUUGCCAAGAAUGUCUUCGUUGAUCAAGAACGAAAGUUAGAGGAUCGAAGGCGAUCAGAUACCGCCCUAGUUCUAACCCUAAACGAUGCUGACUAGCAAUUCGCCGUCGUUAUUCCCAUGACGUGGCGAGACGCCCCCGGGAAACCUCAAGUUUUUGAGUUCCGGGGGUAGUAUGGUUGCAAAAGUGAAACUUAAAGGAAUUGACGGAAGGGCACCACCAGGAGUGGAGCCUGCG